AGGACGAACGCUGGCGGCGUGCUUAACACAUGCAAGUCACGGGGGUCCCGCAAGGGAUAACCGGCGAACGGGUGCGUAACACGUGAGCAACCUGCCUUUGUGUGGGGGAUAGCCGGGCUAACGCCCGGGUAAUACCGCAUACGGUCAUUUGGGGGAGUCCCUAGAUGAAGAAACCUCCGGGGCACAGAGAGGGGCUCGCGGCCUAUCAGCUAGUUGGCGGGUAAUGGCCCACCAAGGCGACGACGGGUAGCUGGUCUGAGAGGAUGGCCAGCCACAUUGGGACUGAGAGACGGCCCAGACUCCUACGGGAGGCAGCAGUGGGGAAUCUUGCGCAAUGGCCGAAAGGCUGACGCAGCGACGCCGCGUGUGGGAGGACGCCGUUUCGGGGUGUAAACCACUGUUGCCCGGGACGAACACGCCUUUCGAGGCGCUGACGGUACCGGUGAGGAAGCACCGGCUAACUCCGUGCUAGCAGCCGC
This 479-nucleotide ribosomal RNA is filed under the name uncultured soil bacterium. Its description in RNAcentral is "bacterial SSU rRNA". It matches the Rfam family "Bacterial small subunit ribosomal RNA", at positions 26 to 518 of the family's 1533-position model. The record is from RNAcentral.